UACGUAGGGUGCGAGCGUUGUCCGGAAUUAUUGGGCGUAAAGAGCUCGUAGGCGGUGUGUCGCGUCGGCCGUGAAAACCUGGGGCUCAACUCUGGGCGUGCGGUCGAUACGGGCAUCACUUGAGUUCGGCAGGGGAGACUGGAAUUCCUGGUGUAGCGGGUGAAAUGCGCAGAUAUCAGGAGGAACACCGGUGGCGAAGG
This 200-nucleotide ribosomal RNA is filed under the name uncultured bacterium. RNAcentral describes it as "partial 16S ribosomal RNA". It matches the Rfam family "Bacterial small subunit ribosomal RNA", at positions 524 to 721 of the family's 1533-position model. The record is from RNAcentral.